Dentipellis sp. KUC8613 is the source of this 86-nucleotide non-coding RNA. The record is from the annotation of a GenBank genome assembly. NCBI's taxonomy places the organism in Eukaryota, Fungi, Basidiomycota, Agaricomycetes, Russulales, Hericiaceae.
GCAUCAGUGGUGUAGCGGUAACAUUGGGUCUUCCCAUUUCAAAACCUGUGGUGGCCUAGCUCGGGGUUCGACCCCCCGCUGAUGCA